GUUGCAAAACACGAAAGCGUCACGCUAAAUAGGCCAGCAGUUCCGAAACAUUUGCUCUCUAAUCUGCUGUAAAUCCAGCUUUUCAACCCGAAGAUUUAAAGUAGAACCGAACCCAUGUUUAACAAUAAGGCACAAUCUCCAUGCUUUCUCUCCCAUCACACCAAGCAUGUGCAAGGGACGCAAGGAACAGACUCCAGGCUUUUUGUCUGCUGAGGAAUGUGUGAUCUGAGCUACCAAUGGCUAGCUGCAAGCAG
This is a long non-coding RNA of Xenopus tropicalis (tropical clawed frog), 254 nucleotides long. RefSeq lists it as uncharacterized. NCBI's taxonomy places the organism in Eukaryota, Metazoa, Chordata, Amphibia, Anura, Pipidae. The transcript has 3 exons. The record is from RefSeq and is a predicted model, not a curated record.